Molecule: long non-coding RNA, 283 nt
Filed under: Salvia miltiorrhiza (redroot sage)
Lineage: Eukaryota; Viridiplantae; Streptophyta; Magnoliopsida; Lamiales; Lamiaceae
Description: long non-coding RNA (SMIL_LNC009941)
Source: RNAcentral
CUAAUGUUUCGGUUAUUUUGUUUCCUUAUUUGUUGGUUUUUUUAUUUUCCAAAAUUAUAUAUAAACCAUAUAGUUUUAUUCCAGAUUUUUUUUUUCGUUUCAAAAUAUUAUUAUUGAUUUGUUACCAAUAAUUUAGUAUUUCUUGUUAAAAUAAUCCUAAAUUUUUUUCCAACAAUUAUUUUUUUCGAAAUUAAUUUUUUUAAAGAUUAAAUUAUUUAUUUUAUUUCGAAAAUUAUGUUUUAUUUAUUUGUUUCCACAUAUUUAUGAUUCUCUUAAAACUAAU